RNAcentral lists this ribosomal RNA (689 nucleotides) under Salmonella enterica subsp. enterica serovar Muenchen. RNAcentral describes it as "partial 23S ribosomal RNA". It matches the Rfam family "Bacterial large subunit ribosomal RNA", at positions 711 to 1312 of the family's 2925-position model. The record is from RNAcentral. Lineage: Bacteria; Pseudomonadati; Pseudomonadota; Gammaproteobacteria; Enterobacterales; Enterobacteriaceae.
AGACCCGAAACCCGGUGAUCUAGCCAUGGGCAGGUUGAAGGUUGGGUAACACUAACUGGAGGACCGAACCGACUAAUGUUGAAAAAUUAGCGGAUGACCUGUGGCUGGGGGUGAAAGGCCAAUCAAACCGGGAGAUAGCUGGUUCUCCCCGAAAGCUAUUUAGGUAGCGCCUCGUGAAUUCAUCUCCGGGGGUAGAGCACUGUUUCGGCUAGGGGGCCAUCCCGGCUUACCAACCCGAUGCAAACUGCGAAUACCGGAGAAUGUUAUCACGGGAGACACACGGCGGGUGCUAACGUCCGUCGUGAAGAGGGAAACAACCCAGACCGCCAGCUAAGGUCCCAAAGUCAUGGUUAAGUGGGAAACGAUGUGGGAAGGCCCAGACAGCCAGGAUGUUGGCUUAGAAGCAGCCAUCAUUUAAAGAAAGCGUAAUAGCUCACUGGUCGAGUCGGCCUGCGCGGAAGAUGUAACGGGGCUAAACCAUGCACCGAAGCUGCGGCAGCGAACGUAUCACCCAAGACAACUUUACGGAGUUGACGAUUGACGGAGCGAAGCGACGUCAAAGCGUUCAUUAAAGUCGAGUUGGCUUAGGGAUACGUUCGUUGGGUAGGGGAGCGUUCUGUAAGCCUGUGAAGGUGGCCUGUGAGGGUUGCUGGAGGUAUCAGAAGUGCGAAUGCUGACAUAAGUAACGA